Molecule: ribosomal RNA, 330 nt
Filed under: Triticum aestivum (bread wheat)
Lineage: Eukaryota; Viridiplantae; Streptophyta; Magnoliopsida; Poales; Poaceae
Description: partial small subunit ribosomal RNA
Source: RNAcentral
AUGGAUCGACCGGGGAAAUUCCGGCGUCUUAGGCUGCGCUUGGAUGCGAGUAAUCAAAUACAAACGUAUUUAGUUUACACGUGUAUCUUACCGGCCACUAGUAGAUUUUCAGCCGGAAUCAAAACGAUGGGCGAAGAUCUGUAUUUUUUUACAUGUGUAUUUGAGACGAAUCGACAUCCCAAACAAAGCCUCAAUCCAGAUCGCAAUAUGCAUGUGGUAACGUUUGGACGUUUGCCCGGAGCGGGAGAAGACCAUGCUGUCGUCCACGGCUGGUCGCUCUUUCGUCCCGGUUUCUCACUCUGUCUCCCGGUGCUACCCCAUGACCACUGA